RNAcentral lists this unclassified non-coding RNA (347 nucleotides) under soil metagenome. RNAcentral's name for it is "partial contains 5.8S ribosomal RNA, internal transcribed spacer 2, and large subunit ribosomal RNA". The stretch from base 1 to 120 matches the Rfam family "5.8S ribosomal RNA", at positions 35 to 154 of the family's 154-position model. The record is from RNAcentral.
GAUGAAGAACGUAGCGAAAUGCGAUAAGUAAUGUGAAUUACAGAAUUCAGUGAAUCAUCGAAUCUUUGAACGCACAUUGCGCCCGCCAGUAUUCUGGCGGGCAUGCCUGUCCGAGCGUCAUUUCAACCCUCAGGCCCUGGUUGCCUGGUGUUGGGGCGCCGCGCACCCUCUGCGGGCGCGGGCCCCGAAAGUCAGUGGCGGGCUCGCCAGGACUCCGAGCGCAGUAAUUUUCUCUCGCUGUGGAGCGCCUGGUGGGUUACCAGCCGUAAAACACCCCAAAUUCUAAAGGUUGACCUCGGAUCAGGUAGGAAUACCCGCUGAACUUAAGCAUAUCAAUAAGCGGAGGA